This 468-nucleotide ribosomal RNA is filed under the name uncultured bacterium. Its description in RNAcentral is "partial 16S ribosomal RNA". It matches the Rfam family "Bacterial small subunit ribosomal RNA", at positions 28 to 507 of the family's 1533-position model. The record is from RNAcentral.
GACGAACGCUGGCGGCGUGCUUAACACAUGCAAGUCGAACGGAAAGGCCCUGCUUUUGUGGGGUGCUCGAGUGGCGAACGGGUGAGUAACACGUGAGUAACCUGCCCUUGACUUUGGGAUAACUUCAGGAAACUGGGGCUAAUACCGGAUAGGAGCUCCUGCUGCAUGGUGGGGGUUGGAAAGUUUCGGCGGUUGGGGAUGGACUCGCGGCUUAUCAGCUUGUUGGUUGGGUAGUGGCUUACCAAGGCUUUGACGGGUAGCCGGCCUGAGAGGGUGACCGGCCACAUUGGGACUGCGAUACGGCCCAGACUCCUACGGGAGGCAGCAGUGGGGGAUAUUGCACAAUGGGCGGAAGCCUGAUGCAGCAACGCCGCGUGCGGGAUGACGGCCUUCGGGUUGUAAACCGCUUUCGCCUGUGACGAAGCGUGAGUGACGGUAAUGGGUAAAGAAGCACCGGCUAACUACGUG